GGGUUGUGAGGUUAAGCGACUAAGCGUACACGGUGGAUGCCCUGGCAGUCAGAGGCGAUGAAGGACGUGCUAAUCUGCGAUAAGCGUCGGUAAGGUGAUAUGAACCGUUAUAACCGGCGAUUUCCGAAUGGGGAAACCCAGUGUGUUUCGACACACUAUCAUUAACUGAAUCCAUAGGUUAAUGAGGCGAACCGGGGGAACUGAAACAUCUAAGUACCCCGAGGAAAAGAAAUCAACCGAGAUUCCCCAGUAGCGGCGAGCGAACGGGGAGCAGCCCAGAGCCUGAAUCAGUGUGUGUGUUAGUGGAAGCGUCUGGAAAGGCGCGCGAUACAGGGUGACAGCCCCGUACACAAAAAUGCACAUAUUGUGAGCUCGAUGAGUAGGGCGGGACACGUGGUAUCCUGUCUGAAUAUGGGGGGACCAUCCUCCAAGGCUAAAUACUCCUGACUGACCGAUAGUGAACCAGUACCGUGAGGGAAAGGCGAAAAGAACCCCGGCGAGGGGAGUGAAAAAGAACCUGAAACCGUGUACGUACAAGCAGUGGGAGCACGCUUAGGCGUGUGACUGCGUACCUUUUGUAUAAUGGGUCAGCGACUUAUAUUCUGUAGCAAGGUUAACCGAAUAGGGGAGCCGAAGGGAAACCGAGUCUUAACUGGGCGUUAAGUUGCAGGGUAUAGACCCGAAACCCGGUGAUCUAGCCAUGGGCAGGUUGAAGGUUGGGUAACACUAACUGGAGGACCGAACCGACUAAUGUUGAAAAAUUAGCGGAUGACUUGUGGCUGGGGGUGAAAGGCCAAUCAAACCGGGAGAUAGCUGGUUCUCCCCGAAAGCUAUUUAGGUAGCGCCUCGUGAAUUCAUCUCCGGGGGUAGAGCACUGUUUCGGCAAGGGGGUCAUCCCGACUUACCAACCCGAUGCAAACUGCGAAUACCGGAGAAUGUUAUCACGGGAGACACACGGCGGGUGCUAACGUCCGUCGUGAAGAGGGAAACAACCCAGACCGCCAGCUAAGGUCCCAAAGUCAUGGUUAAGUGGGAAACGAUGUGGGAAGGCCCAGACAGCCAGGAUGUUGGCUUAGAAGCAGCCAUCAUUUAAAGAAAGCGUAAUAGCUCACUGGUCGAGUCGGCCUGCGCGGAAGAUGUAACGGGGCUAAACCAUGCACCGAAGCUGCGGCAGCGACGCUUAUGCGUUGUUGGGUAGGGGAGCGUUCUGUAAGCCUGCGAAGGUGUGCUGUGAGGCAUGCUGGAGGUAUCAGAAGUGCGAAUGCUGACAUAAGUAACGAUAAAGCGGGUGAAAAGCCCGCUCGCCGGAAGACCAAGGGUUCCUGUCCAACGUUAAUCGGGGCAGGGUGAGUCGACCCCUAAGGCGAGGCCGAAAGGCGUAGUCGAUGGGAAACAGGUUAAUAUUCCUGUACUUGGUGUUACUGCGAAGGGGGGACGGAGAAGGCUAUGUUGGCCGGGCGACGGUUGUCCCGGUUUAAGCGUGUAGGCUGGUUUUCCAGGCAAAUCCGGAAAAUCAAGGCUGAGGCGUGAUGACGAGGCACUACGGUGCUGAAGCAACAAAUGCCCUGCUUCCAGGAAAAGCCUCUAAGCAUCAGGUAACAUCAAAUCGUACCCCAAACCGACACAGGUGGUCAGGUAGAGAAUACCAAGGCGCUUGAGAGAACUCGGGUGAAGGAACUAGGCAAAAUGGUGCCGUAACUUCGGGAGAAGGCACGCUGAUAUGUAGGUGAAGUCCCUCGCGGAUGGAGCUGAAAUCAGUCGAAGAUACCAGCUGGCUGCAACUGUUUAUUAAAAACACAGCACUGUGCAAACACGAAAGUGGACGUAUACGGUGUGACGCCUGCCCGGUGCCGGAAGGUUAAUUGAUGGGGUCAGCGCAAGCGAAGCUCUUGAUCGAAGCCCCGGUAAACGGCGGCCGUAACUAUAACGGUCCUAAGGUAGCGAAAUUCCUUGUCGGGUAAGUUCCGACCUGCACGAAUGGCGUAAUGAUGGCCAGGCUGUCUCCACCCGAGACUCAGUGAAAUUGAACUCGCUGUGAAGAUGCAGUGUACCCGCGGCAAGACGGAAAGACCCCGUGAACCUUUACUAUAGCUUGACACUGAACAUUGAGCCUUGAUGUGUAGGAUAGGUGGGAGGCUUGGAAGUGUGGACGCCAGUCUGCAUGGAGCCGACCUUGAAAUACCACCCUUUAAUGUUUGAUGUUCUAACGUUGACCCGUGAUCCGGGUUGCGGACAGUGUCUGGUGGGUAGUUUGACUGGGGCGGUCUCCUCCUAAAGAGUAACGGAGGAGCACGAAGGUUGGCUAAUCCUGGUCGGACAUCAGGAGGUUAGUGCAAUGGCAUAAGCCAGCUUGACUGCGAGCGUGACGGCGCGAGCAGGUGCGAAAGCAGGUCAUAGUGAUCCGGUGGUUCUGAAUGGAAGGGCCAUCGCUCAACGGAUAAAAGGUACUCCGGGGAUAACAGGCUGAUACCGCCCAAGAGUUCAUAUCGACGGCGGUGUUUGGCACCUCGAUGUCGGCUCAUCACAUCCUGGGGCUGAAGUAGGUCCCAAGGGUAUGGCUGUUCGCCAUUUAAAGUGGUACGCGAGCUGGGUUUAGAACGUCGUGAGACAGUUCGGUCCCUAUCUGCCGUGGGCGCUGGAGAACUGAGGGGGGCUGCUCCUAGUACGAGAGGACCGGAGUGGACGCAUCACUGGUGUUCGGGUUGUCAUGCCAAUGGCACUGCCCGGUAGCUAAAUGCGGAAGAGAUAAGUGCUGAAAGCAUCUAAGCACGAAACUUGCCCCGAGAUGAGUUCUCCCUGACUCCUUGAGAGUCCUGAAGGAACGUUGAAGACGACGACGUUGAUAGGCCGGGUGUGUAAGCGCAGCGAUGCGUUGAGCUAACCGGUACUAAUGAACCGUGAGGCUUAACCUUACAACGCCGAAGCUGUU
This 2929-nucleotide ribosomal RNA is filed under the name Escherichia coli. RNAcentral describes it as "bacterial LSU rRNA". It matches the Rfam family "Bacterial large subunit ribosomal RNA". The record is from RNAcentral. Lineage: Bacteria; Pseudomonadati; Pseudomonadota; Gammaproteobacteria; Enterobacterales; Enterobacteriaceae.